GGAUUCCCCUAGUAACUGCGAGUGAAGCGGGAAAAGCUCAAAUUUAAAAUCUGGCGGUCUUUGGCYGUCCGAGUUGUAGUCUGGAGAAGUGCUUUCCGCGCCGGACCGUGUACAAGUCUCUUGGAACAGAGCGUCAUAGAGGGUGAGAAUCCCGUCUUUGACACGGACUACCGGUGCUUUGUGAUGCGCUCUCAAAGAGUCGAGUUGUUUGGGAAUGCAGCUCAAAACGGGUGGUGAAUUCCAUCUAAAGCUAAAUAUUGGCGAGAGACCGAUAGCGAACAAGUACCGUGAGGGAAAGAUGAAAAGCACUUUGGAAAGAGAGUUAAACAGUACGUGAAAUUGCUGAAAGGGAAACGCUUGAAGUCAGUCGCGUCGUCCGGAACUCAGCCUUGCUUUCGCUUGGUGCACUUUCCAGACGACGGGCCAGCAUCGAUUUAGACCGUCGGAGAAGGGCUAAAGUAAUGUGGCACCUUUUGGUGUGUUAUAGACUUUGGUCGCAUGCGACGGUCGGGAUCGAGGACCGCAGCGCGCCGCAAGGCAGGGGUUCGCCCACUUUUGCGCUUAGGAUGCUGGCAUAAUGGCUUUAAACGACCCGUCUUGAAACACGGACCAAGGAGUCUAACAUGCCUGCGAGUGUUUGGGUGGAAAACCCGAGCGCGUAAUGAAAGUGAAAGUUGAGACCUCUGUCGUGGAGGGCAUCGACGCCCGGACCUGACGUUUUCUGACGGAUCCGCGGUAGAGCAUGUAUGUUGGGACCCGAAAGAUGGUGAACUAUGCCUGAAUAGGGUGAAGCCAGAGGAAACUCUGGUGGAGGCUCGUAGCGAUUCUGACGUGCAAAUCGAUCGUCAAAUUUGGGUAUAGGGGCGAAAGACUAAUCGAACCAUCUAGUAGCUGGU
This 896-nucleotide ribosomal RNA is filed under the name Diacanthodes neotropicalis. Its description in RNAcentral is "Diacanthodes sp. MP-2019b partial large subunit ribosomal RNA". Lineage: Eukaryota; Fungi; Basidiomycota; Agaricomycetes; Polyporales. The record is from RNAcentral.